This 543-nucleotide long non-coding RNA is filed under the name Dromaius novaehollandiae (emu). RNAcentral's name for it is "lncRNA (ENSDNVG00000003821.1)". Lineage: Eukaryota; Metazoa; Chordata; Aves; Casuariiformes; Dromaiidae. The record is from RNAcentral.
UGAAAGCUUGGAGGUAUGAGAGUGUCUAAAAAGUAAGAAAACGGGUUUGUUGGGAAAAACGCUAAAACUCCAGGAAAAGAGAACACAAGUUAUAUUGCCAGAGUUUCAAAAAUUCGGGAUGUGAGUGUCUUGCUAGCAGAUGCACUAGACAAAGGGACUCCAUAAAGAAACGGGAUUACUUGACUACCAGUAGAUGAAUUGUCAUAGCAGGAGCAGAGAGCGAGCCAGGAAGUCCUAAGGACAUGAAAUGUCUUAAUCGUCAGACUAAAUCUCCUUUUAGGGGUGUCUGUUUCUGUGUAAUGAAGCUGUGUGGAUUCUGGCUAAAAGCCUCUCAGAAGUAUACUCCUGGCACACUGGCAGCAGAACAGCACAUACAAAUGCUGAGUUCUCCAAGGUGCUGUCUGCAAGACCAGACCUUACACAGAGCAGCACCUACACCUAUGAGAGGUCUGUACAAAGAAGUAUAGGGGAGACUGAACAUCACCAAUAUGGGUCUUAACAACUAUUAGAAGCUUGCACAAUAAACAUGAGACUAUGAGGACA